This 609-nucleotide ribosomal RNA is filed under the name uncultured bacterium. Its description in RNAcentral is "bacterial SSU rRNA". It matches the Rfam family "Bacterial small subunit ribosomal RNA", at positions 187 to 821 of the family's 1533-position model. The record is from RNAcentral.
GUAUACGCCCUCCGGGGGAUGACCAUGGUGAAGAUCGGUCGCGUUAGAUUAGUAGUUGGUGAGGUAACGGCUACCAAGGUACGAUUAUAGCUGGUCUGAGAGGUGAUCAGCCACCUGGAACUGAGACACGGUCCAGACUCCUACGGGAGGCAGCAGUGGGGAAUUUGCACAAUGGGCGCAAGCCUGAUGCAGCCACGCCGCGUGAAUGAUGAAGGCCUUAGGGUCGUAAAAUUCUUUCGCCAAGGAUGAUAAUGACAGUACUUGGUAAAGAAGCCCCGGCUAACUUCGUGCCAGCAGCCGCGGUAAUACGAAGGGGGCUAGCGUUGUUCGGAAUUACUGGGCGUAAAGCGCACGUAGGCGGACUUUUUAAGUCAGAUGUGAAAUCCCAAGGCUCAACCUUUGGAACUUGCAUUUUGAAACUUGGGAGUCUAGAGAUCAGGAGAGGUUAGUGGAAUACCGAGUGUAGAGGUGAAAUUCGUAGAUAUUCGGUGGAACACCAGUGGCGAAGGCGACUAACUGGACUGAUACUGACGCUGAGGUGCGAAAGUGUGGGGAGCAAACAGGAUUAGAUACCCUGGUAGUCCACACCGUAAACGAUGAGUGCUAGUU